This is an RNA transcript of Ornithorhynchus anatinus (platypus), 2676 nucleotides long. It is a transcript of the gene named acidic leucine-rich nuclear phosphoprotein 32 family member B, with no coding region annotated. The transcript has 6 exons. The record is from RefSeq and is a predicted model, not a curated record. NCBI's taxonomy places the organism in Eukaryota, Metazoa, Chordata, Mammalia, Monotremata, Ornithorhynchidae.
GGGGCGUGUGCGGCGGCGGCGGCGGCUGGAGCGACGGCUCCUUCUCGAGCUCGGUUUCGGCUCGUGGCGGCGGCGACGGCUCCUCCUACUCCGUCGAGAUGGAGAUGAAGAGGCGGCUCACGUUGGAGCUGCGGAACAAGAAGCCCGGGGAGGUGAAGGAACUGGUCCUGGAUAACUGCCGCUCUGAAGAUGGACGAAUCGUGGGCCUGUCCUCAGACUUCGACAGCCUGGAGUUCCUCAGCAUGAUCAACAUCAAUCUGCUGUCUGUCUCCAACCUCCCCAAGCUCAGCAGGCUCCGCAAGCUGGAGCUGAGUGACAACCGAAUCUGUGGUGGCUUGGAAGUGCUAGCCGAGAGAACCCCAAACCUGACUCACUUGAACCUAAGUGGCAACAAAAUCAAGGACAUCAACACCUUAGAACCUCUGAAGAAGCUGCCAAACUUACGCAGCCUGGACCUCUUCAACUGUGAGGUGACCAUGUUGAUCAACUACCGGGAGAGCAUGUUUGGCCUCCUGCCCCAACUCACCUACCUGGACGGUUUUGAUGCAGAUGACCAAGAAGCCCCUGACUCGGACCCUGAGGUUGAUGGGGAGGGUCUGGACGAUGAGUACGAUGAGAAUGGUGAAGAAGGCGAGGAAGAGGAGGAGGACGACGAGGACGAAUUCGACGAAGAAGUUGUCGAUGAUGAAGAUGAUGAUGAAGACGACGACGAUUUGGACGGCGAAGAGGAAGAGGAUGGUGUCGAUGACGAGGUCAGGAUUACUGCCUCGACUGCCCUGCAAGUUGGGUUCCAAUCUCUGAAAUCCCCUCCAGCGAGAGGUGCAGCCUGACCCUGGCAGGCCCGGCUGGCUGGCUAGCUGGCUGAGGUGGGGGAGGGAUGGGUCAGGACCGACUCCUGCGUCACCAGGCCCCUCGGCCCCAAGUGUCCAACAGUUGCCACCCGACGGUGGCCAGCUCUGCUCUGAACGCCCUGGUCUCUCUGUGCUGUGUUCUCCCUUUCAUCCCCCCAACUCCUCCUGGCCCCAAAGCCUUCUGGGCCAAUGCAUUAUUUGGGGAGGGUCGGCGUUCUCUGGUUGCCAAGCCAGCAAAACGAAGGGCUCUGGCCUCCCUGACGGAGGCUGAGAAGGAACAAUGGCUGGACGGGAUCCGGCGGCCUUCAGCAUGCAGAGGGGGAGGCUUGGGGUUGGGGGUGUGUGUGUGUGUGUGUGUGUGUAAGAAAACAGGGUUUGAGGUUUUGUUUCGGAUGAGUGUGUUGGCCUCAUGGACUCUGGUUUCUCCCUCCCCCUUCAGGAUGAGGAUGAGGACGAGGACGGAGAAGACGAUGAGGAUGAGGAUGGAGAGGAAGACCACCCCCAAGGAGAAAAGAGAAAACGAGACUUGGAAGAUGAAGGAGAGGAGGAUCCUGAGGACGAGGAUGAGGAUGACUGAGCCAGCUGUCCAAGCAAUCAGUUCUGUGGACUCUACCUGCAUCUUGUCUCCCUUCCUACCCCAUCUCCCCUACACACACACCCUCCCCCUCCUUAUUAUAUGGCUGCAGCAGCAAUAUAUAUAUAUAUAUAUAUAUUUUUAGGAUGCAGAGUUGCUAAGCGGUCAGGGGAUCCCUAUGUAUCGAGUUCAUUCUCAUAACCAAAGUUUUCCUCCAUUUUGGUGGCUUUUUGGGCAACAAUUCAUUGGACCUUAUUUUUAUUUUUUUUAAAUUUCAUAUCCUCAAACCUCUUGUUGCCAAUAGUCAGCUUGACUUUGUGUACUCAGAACAUGCCAGUGCCCCUCCCCGUCUCCUCUUCUAACCCACUCCCCUGGGUGUUGAGGGGGGCAUCAGGACAGGCACUGGUUUUCCCCUGGCUGAGCUCUGUUAGGGUCUUGGACCUUUUCUCAGGAUGAGUCUUGCAGCCUGCCCAUCUCCCCACCUCCUCCCCCCACCCCCAUCCCCACCCCCCCACUUCUCUUGAAAUAAAGAAAAACUGGAAUUUUUUUUUUCACCCUGUUUUCUGGCUUUGUAGCUGGUGUCCAGGUGGAAUGAGCUGCUGGGAGAAGAGAGAUGGGUGGACAGUAGUGGUAGGAUGGCAUUUAGGAUCUGGCCCUUCCCCAGCCCUGUGGGGUAGCUGGCAGGCUCAGCUGGUCUCUCCACCAGAGCAAGUCCAUAGACCCCCUUCAUCUUCCAUCUUUAAUCCCGUGCUACCAGCUACCUCUGACACUUCAUCAAGGCCAAGAGCUGUUGAUUCUCCAGGCAGUGGGCACUGCCUCAUCUGUUUUUUCCCCAAGCCGACCCCAAAACACCGCAGUAGUGGGUGGGAAGUGACACACACAGGUCACCCCCCCCCCACCAGGCUGGACCACCUGUCACCUCUCCCCUCACUUCUUUGGGGUUUCCUCAGGUUCAGGCUUUGGAAAGGAGCCAAGGAAAAGUCCUUGGAAGAUGCAACAGGAUGUAAUCGUAGAGGGGAGGGAGACGGAUGCAUGCGUGUGUCUGUAUGUGUGUUGGAGGAGAGGCAGGGGUGUUUGCUGGCAUUUGCUCUUCCCUGGAUUGUAGGGGUUUUUUGUUGUUUUUUUAAUUCAAAUUGUACGGCCUUUUCAAAAGUUAGCCUUGGGUGGGGGCCUGCUGAGGUUGUUGGACCCUUUUGUACCAUUAGCUGUGGACUCUGGAUGAGACUAAUAAAAAUCUGUUUUAAUAAGUAA